AUGUGGUCUUCUGUGCAGAUCCUCAGCUUCCUGCUGCUCUGGCUCUCAGGUGCCAGAGGUGACAUCCAGAUGACCCAACCUCUUUCUGUGUCUGCAUCUCUGGGAGAGAAAGUCACCAUCAACUGCAAGGCCAGUCAGAACAUUAACAAGUAUUUGAACUGGUUUCAGCAGAAACCAGGGGAAGCUCCUAGACGACUGAUAUAUAGGGCCACUAAUUUAGAUACAGGUGUCCCUUCCCGGUUCAGUGGCAGUGGAUCUGGCACAGAUUUCACUCUCACGAUCAGCAGCCUAAAGUCUGAAGAUGCUGCCACUUAUUACUGUCAGCAGUAUGAAAGUGAUCCUCACACAGUGAUACAGGCCAGAACAUAA
This is a non-coding RNA of Suncus etruscus (white-toothed pygmy shrew), 369 nucleotides long. NCBI's taxonomy places the organism in Eukaryota, Metazoa, Chordata, Mammalia, Eulipotyphla, Soricidae. The record is from the annotation of a RefSeq genome assembly.